CACCUCAAGAUAAGACUUCCCACACGGUCAACGUGGUAAGACCCCUUGUAGAAGACAAGGUUGAUAGGCUGGAGGUGGAAGCGCCGCGAGGCGUGUAGCUGACCAGUACUAAUCGGUCGAGGGCUUAUCCU
RNAcentral lists this ribosomal RNA (131 nucleotides) under Tumebacillus sp. BK434. RNAcentral's name for it is "partial 23S ribosomal RNA". It matches the Rfam family "Bacterial large subunit ribosomal RNA", at positions 2795 to 2925 of the family's 2925-position model. Lineage: Bacteria; Bacillati; Bacillota; Bacilli; Caryophanales; Alicyclobacillaceae. The record is from RNAcentral.